Molecule: non-coding RNA, 179 nt
Filed under: Hydrogenophilales bacterium
Lineage: Bacteria; Pseudomonadati; Pseudomonadota; Hydrogenophilia; Hydrogenophilales
Description: 6S RNA
Rfam family: 6S / SsrS RNA
About the family: E. coli 6S RNA was the first non coding RNA to be sequenced, but its function was unknown until recently. It consists of 184 nucleotides that fold into an extended hairpin structure with a large single-stranded internal bulge.
Source: RNAcentral
CUAGCCCUGCUGCGUUCGCGAGGUUGGCGUAUUCUUUGAACCGAUACGUACCCCCCGGUUGCGGCAUGAUGUCGCUGGUGUGCGCGUGGCUAGUCUCAUGUGCCUGAUGCCGACGCGCCGCGACCACCUUGAGCCUCUGGGUUCAAGAUAGCCUGCCGAACGGCGUAUGCGGGGCUACU